This 247-nucleotide long non-coding RNA is filed under the name Homo sapiens (human). RNAcentral describes it as "non-protein coding lnc-ARMC2-2:1". The record is from RNAcentral. Lineage: Eukaryota; Metazoa; Chordata; Mammalia; Primates; Hominidae.
AUGGCUAAAUGCACCAAGAAGGUAGGAGUCGUCAGUAAAUAUGGGACCCAAUAUGGUGCCUUUCUCAGGAAAAUGAAGAAAAUUGGAAUCAGCCUGCAAGUAACAUUUUGCUCCUUCUGUGGCAAAACCAAAAUGAAGGGGUGAUGUGGCACUGUGGCUCCAGCAUGAAAAUGGUAGCAGUGGUGCCUGGACUUACAACCCCAAAGUAAAGUCAGCUAUCAGAAGACUGAAGGAAUUGGAAGACUAG